CCCCUUUUCUUGAAGCUCUUAAGGCAUUUUAGAGGUUGCGGAGUACCCUCCUCUAAACCAAUAUUGUCUUCUUGUAGAAUCAUUUUUGUCCUUCUCUUAGAAUGGCUGGAGGCCAAGACAUUAGUAUGACGGAAAGUUUGAAGUCCAAGUUGGAUGCUAUUAUGAAUGCCCUCGCUACGUUAUCGCAAAGAACUGUAGAGAUUGAAGG
This 208-nucleotide long non-coding RNA is filed under the name Physcomitrium patens. RNAcentral's name for it is "long non-coding RNA (PPAT_LNC010538)". The record is from RNAcentral. Lineage: Eukaryota; Viridiplantae; Streptophyta; Bryopsida; Funariales; Funariaceae.